GCCCUGCCGCGCGCCUUCGCCGCCGCCGCCGCCGCCUCUCCUCUCCUCCCCCCUCCCCGCGCGUCCCUGUGUGUCAGUUGCUGGCCGGUAAUGGCGCCGGGCUGGCGGCGGCGUUGCCGCUGAAGCCGCCUCUGGGCCCGCCGCCGCCGCCGCCGCCCCUCAGCGCCGCCCUGUUCCCGGAGGCUGACGAGAUGAACCGGCUACCUCACCCGCCCCGCCGGGAAGGGGCUGGGAAGAACGGAGACGGCGGCAGAGCAGGUGAGGGGAGGAGGCCUCCCGGUUGUCCGGCCCACCGGCCUCCACCCUGGGACUGGCCCGGAGGCCAAAGCGGGGCGCUGGGCUUUAUGAAGGGAGGGCGAGCGGGGCGGGGGGCCCUUCCUCGGCCGGGUGUGGUGGCCCCACUGUGGGGUCGGUGGGUGUUUUCUAGUAGCGGGGGGUUCCGCGGGUGAACCUCCCGUGCCCCGCUUCCCCUCUCCUCGCCGCCCUGUUUCUCUCUCUGAGGUUCGGCCAGGGCUGUCAUUGCUGCUUCCUGGUUUAAAGGGACAAGUUCUGCCUUCGGGUUUCCUGUUGGCUGGCCCUGUUUUCAGAAGCGCUGCCCUUUAAUUUCAGGGAGCCCGUCAUAGAUUGUUGUUGUUGUUACUACUACUACUGUUGUUGUUUGUUUGUUUGUUUGUUAGUUACGUGUCCCGGCCGUUGUGGGGAAUUCAGUUGUGGGGAAACCCAACAAGACGGACGGGGCAUAAAUAACAAAUAAUAAUUAUUAUUAUUAUUCAAAGUGCCUGCUGACGAACAUGAGAUGUUGGGACUGGGAAGGAGAAGAAAUACAUGUGGGCUCAGAAGUUUGUGCAGACGUGAUGCCGUUUCUAACUUUGGGAUUCGGAUUGCAAAUUGCCACAGGGAGGCUGCAUAAGACUGUGUUUGUGCAUAGGCAGGUACCCCAGGCACGCAUGUUUGUCUGUGCGCUUUUAAAAAGUAAGAUGAGAGAGAAAGAAAAGGCAGGUCUCUGCUACCAAGAAAUGUAAAGUCUAAGGGCUUGAUAUAAGCCAUGCGCUUCUAAGGCUGCAAUUGCAUGUACACAUCAGGCACAUUGGUCUAAAAUACUUCUGAGUAAACAUGGAUUUGGAUCCGUUUGGGUCUCUGUUCAUCUCUCCUGUAAGAAGUGUUCUGCUGCAUCAGAUCAAAGAAACAUCCAGUCCAGCACCCAUGUCACCCAUUUCUCACCAUGUCAACCAGAUGCCCCAAGAACCCGACAGAGUUUGAAGGCAACAAACUUUCUCUUGCUGUCUAGCAAAUGGUAGUCAGCAGUAGCAUACUGCUUUCUGAAUGCAGAGGUUCCAUUUAGCUGUCAUGCCAAAAGACCUGUAUACCUUAUGCAUUCGUCUAAUCUUUUAAAGCUGCCUAGGCCAGUGGCCAUCACUGUAUACUGUGGCAGUGAAUUCCAUAGACCAUGUAUUGUGCAAAGUAGUGCUUUCUCUUAUCUGCCCUCAGCUGUCAGUUUCAUUGGGUGAUUUGAGUUUUAAUAUUCUAGGAAGUGGAGAAAAAGUUAUGUCUCCACACCAUUCAUAAUUUUAUAAGCCUCUAUCAUGUCUCUUAAUGGACGGUUAUCUGAAAAAAAAAAUUGCAAACACUUUUCAUAAUUUUAGCUGUCCUUUUCUGGACCUUUUCUAAUUCUACAGUGUUCUUUUUGAGGUUGAGCAUCCAGGACUGCACAUAAUAUUCCAGAUGUGGCUGUGUCUUGAAUUCAUCCACACUAUUACACUGCCAGACUUAAGAAAUCGAUUGAAUGUGACUGCUAGCAUUGAAUUCAUGCUUUUAUUUUAUGCUGCACACUGACUUUUUUGAGCUUUGCCUCAAGAUUGGUUUCCUAGUUAGUCACUUUUGGUUCUGACCCCAUCAUGAAUGUCAGCAGUGGGGAAGCUUUUUCAGCCUUAGGACUACCUUCUCUGGUGAGUAACCUUCAGGGCAGUGGAUAGGGGCAGAGCCAAAAGUGGGCAAGACCAAAGCCACAUCUAUCUACCCAUAUCCCAUUCACACACAUCUGGGUACACACACACCCUGAUUUGGACAAAUCUAUAUAGAGAAGAAGAUUCCCUUUCUCAGUGCUCUGCAUAGGGACACAGAGAGUUGCUGAUGUGGAAAGAGAUUGUGCUCUUUCUCCAUUGGCUGUUUGCUGCAUUUCUGUGAUGGGUGCUGAGAAGCAGGCUUUGCUUUUUCAGCAUGCAGCACAGAAACACAGUCAGCUGCCAAUGGAGGAAGAGAGCGAUCUUUUUCCAUAAGCAGCAGGAUUCUACAGCCACACACCCCUUCCCUGCUUCUCAGCUGCCAAACCUCACCUCCACCCCCCACUCCAAAUCUCCCACAACCACAGCAGCUACUCAGCAGCCACAGCUGAGCUGAAGAGGAGAGAAGGAAGCCUAGGAAGAGGGCUAACAUAUCAGAUGGGGAGGCCCUGUGGGUCUCAUCUAGCUCAUAGGCAGGCUUGGCACCCCUGAUGCAUGUGAAGUUUGGAUUUCUUUGCCCCAUUUUGCAUCACUUUUUCAUUGUUGAUCUUUUUAGUGUCUUCACCAUCUGACUAACCUGGUGUCAUUUAUAUAACUGGAUUCCUCACUUCUCAUCCCUGACCCCAGAUCAUUUAUGAAAAAAAGUUAGUUAAUACUAUAUCAAAAAACAGAUACAUGUUUUUGUAGUGUAGCAACACUGGAAAGCACCAGAACCAUGAUAUUUUUGGUUCCAUCAAUGGAGGCAGUUGAUAUGUGGUGUGAUGGGGUUGCGGGGAGGUAGUUUGAAAAAAUAUGUAAUUUAUGCAAGUUUGACUGGAAGUGACUUUGUCUGUCUUUGAAACUCCAUUUUACUGACUCCUAUGACACUCUGCUUUCUCACCUAUGGUCACUCCAAUUUCCACCUCGCAAUCUUUCCGAUGAAUCCCCCCCCCUUUCCUUCUGGCCCCUCACUAUUGCUCUGCUUUCUGUUGAGCUGCUCAGGUGCCAUCUGAGCCCUGGGAAGUGCAUGAUGCUAAAAGAGGAACAGAGUGUCACUCUUGAAACUUCCUUCAUCAAGUCUAUAUGCUUAUUUCAAAGGGAGAGUGGGAAGAUAACCAUCCUCACCACUUCAUGACAAAGGGGGCAGUGAAUGGCCGUGUGUGUGUGUGUGUGUGUGUGUGUGUUUCAGAGGCUUCACAAGCAGAAUGGAAAAUCCUCAAGAGUACCAUUGUGCCCAUGGGCUGCACAUAGGCAACUCCUGGUUUAAUGAUUAUGUAUGCUUAAUCGUUCUGGCUUUAUUUAUGAUUCCAUAAUCUACUAGGAACUGAUGCUGACCUGUAAAUUCUUGAAUCUCCCCACAUCCCUAUUUAUAAAAUUGAUGUCAUGUUGGCUGCUUUGUCCCCCUUAUGAGAGGUUUGGAUUUUAGUAACAAGUUGCCUUUCCCCAAUCGAUCAAGAGUUUCUUAUCUGAAUUCUUUAGGACCUCUAAAGGUGUAUUCCCCUCAAACCCUGUCACUUGUUAAAAGUUAGCAUUAAUUAAAAAUUGUUUCCCAGAAGGCAUACCCAAUAUCUACAUUGAAGUUCUUUUGGUGACUCAUGAAUACCUUUAUCCAAGAAUUGUUAUUGGAAUUGAUACUGUUAUUCUUGUCUGUUGUUCUAUGCGUUGUUGUGGCUUUAUUGUUUUUAUUAGGUUAUUGUAUUUUCUAUUUUUGUUCUAAGCUGCAUUGGAAAAAAAUUAUUGAAGGAUGGUUUAGGAACCCAUUCAGUAAGAGGGCUCCUCUUUAAGGUGCCCUCCCCCAGACAUUUUCUGUGGAUUUUGCUGCUUCACUUUCAUAUUGGUCUUUGCUUUAACUUCCUUCAUUGGCUUCAUUAAAAUCAGUGGAACUUAGUGCUAUCCUGUGCAUGUUUAUUAAAGAUAAUUCCUGCUGAGUGUCUUGAAGCAUAUCCCUUGUGUAGAAUUGCAACUGAGCAGCAUAAUCAUAUUUACUUAGAAAUAACUUCUACUAAGUUAUUUUUAAAAUUCAAUAAAAUACUACAGAUGCAACAAAAAUCUCACUUUAAGUUUAGGAAGAAAACACAUGUUCUGAACUACAGAAAGUGAACAUGGCGUUAUCCUUACGUUUCAUAGACAGGUGACGUGAGUUUGAGAGAAUAGUUGCUUGCUAUGGACAAAGUGAGAGUUCAGCUGGGGGUGAGGUCCUGGCUCGCAGCUCACAUUCUUAUUCAUGUGACAACCCUAUACUGGUUGUCAGCAAUGUAAAUGAACAAAUACCUAUGGCUCUGAUAGGAAAUAGCUUAGUGUCUGUAAAGCUUCCCUACAGUUAAACUAGUAUAACAAAUAUUAAUCUGGACUCUGUUCGUUUGUUUUAAAGUAUUUAUAUGCUGCUUUUCAUCAGCAAAGAUCACAGGAUGGAUUAUCCAUUUUGGAAGGAGUCAUAACUAUUUUUUUCUAACAAUAUUCCUGUUACUGUAUAAAACUUGAGGCGUAUGCCUUCAAUUGUAUCUCAUUUUGCUUCCUCUUGCCUUAUAAAUGGACAUAAAGCUUCACAGUUACACUUUUCAGCUGACAGAGUUACUCUGUGCCAAACUAGAAGAAGGCACCAAAUACGGCUCUGAUUCGGUUCUACGCUCUGCAUGGCAGUGGCAUCCUAAGGGCACAGAAGUGAAGCGUAUGCCUGAUUCAGUGUGUUCUCAUCUGCCUUCUAUCCCAGUAUUGUUGUGGGUAUAUUCAUAGUAUUUAUGAAUACAAGGGAGUGGGUAGCGCUGUGGUCUAAACCACUGAGCCUCUUGGGCUUGCUGGUCAGCUGUUCAAGUCCACAUGGCGAAGUGAGCUCCUGUUGUCCUGUCCCAGCUUCUGCCAACCCAGCAGUUCGAAAGCACGCCAAAAAGUGCAACUAGAUUAAUAGGUACCGCAGCGGUGGGAAGGUAAACAGUGUUUCUGUGCCUCUGGCACUUGUCACGGUGCUCCGUUGUGGCAGAAGCGGUUUAGUCAUGAUGGCUACAUGACCUGGAAAGCUGUCUGUGGGCAAACGCCAGCUCCCUCGGCCUGAAAGCAAGAUGAGCGUUGCAAUUCCGUAGUCACCUUCGAAUGGACAUAGCUACCCAGGGGUCCCUUACCCGCUCCCCCCAGUAUUUAGACAACUGGUGGAGUCACUUUGGCUGGUAGCCACGUAGGUCAUAUCAUACUCAGCAAAGACCCACUGCAAAAUGUUUUGAGGUUUUUUUCUUAUAAUUAAGCAGUACGUGUAUACAGUGGUACCUUGGUUUACAAACUUAAUCCUUUCCGGAGGUCCGUUCUUAAACCGAACCCGUACUUAAACUGAGGCACACUUUCACUAAUGAGGACUCUCACCGCCAGUGCCCCCCCCAACAUUCUGAUUCCAUUCUUAGACCGAGGUAAAGUUCACAAACCUGGACACUACUUCCGGUUUUGCUGAGUUCGUAAACCGAAUCGUUCGUAAACCGAAUCGUUCGUAAACAGGACUGUUCUUAAACCGAGGUACCACUGUAUAUGAAAUAAGUUAUUCAUAGCUUACUUAAGAUAUUGAUUUAAUUGGGUCUACUCUGAGUAUGACUCAGUCAGAUACCACCCUAACAGUGGAACUGAGAAGUCCACAGUUAAAUCUUACUUC
This is a non-coding RNA of Podarcis lilfordi (Lilford's wall lizard), 5610 nucleotides long. The record is from the annotation of a GenBank genome assembly. NCBI's taxonomy places the organism in Eukaryota, Metazoa, Chordata, Lepidosauria, Squamata, Lacertidae.